Molecule: ribosomal RNA, 246 nt
Filed under: uncultured bacterium
Lineage: Bacteria
Description: partial 16S rRNA
Rfam family: Bacterial small subunit ribosomal RNA
Source: RNAcentral
GUGCCAGCAGCCGCGGUAAUACGUAGGUGGCGAGCGUUGUCCGGAAUUACUGGGUGUAAAGGGCGUGUAGGCGGGUAUUUAAGUCAGAUGUGAAAUUCCCGGGCUUAACCUCGGCGCUGCAUUUCAAACUGUAUUUCUUGAGUGCUGGAGAGGAAAGCAGAAUUCCUAGUGUAGCGGUGAAAUGCGUAGAUAUUAGGAGGAAAACCAGUGGCGAAGGCGGCUUUCUGGACAGUAACUGACGCUGAG